RNAcentral lists this long non-coding RNA (11348 nucleotides) under Heterocephalus glaber (naked mole-rat). RNAcentral's name for it is "lncRNA (ENSHGLG00000039581.1)". Lineage: Eukaryota; Metazoa; Chordata; Mammalia; Rodentia; Bathyergidae. The record is from RNAcentral.
AGGGCUCCAAGGAACAUUCAGGUGCCAGUGUCUAAGGUGUCCUGUUCCAAAUGCCUGGAGCGGCGCCCUGGAGUCUGCAGUCGUCCUCCACCCGCAGCCCCUCCGACCCCAGGACAGCAGGGCCUCGAAGACCACCCCCACCAGGUCACCUGACCUACCCAGGGCAGUCACCUCCAGGGAACCAAUGCCCUCGACCCAUCAGGACCCAUCCUGAGGUGGCAGCAACCGGACCCCGGCUUGACCAGGAUCCCCUACGCUGCCAGCUGUGCAAACCCCACCCUUCCCCGGCCAGCCCCUUUUCAGCACAACCCCAAAGCUCCUGCACCCCGAAGCCAGGCCCGGAGCUGCUCCAUCGGUCCCCGACCCAGCUCAGCCUCUGAGGUGACCUCUGUGAGUACUACAUGAGCAGAUUCCCAGGAAGCCAAGAGGCCUGUGGGCUCAGGUCGCCCCUCCUGACAUCCAGAAGCAGACCCAGCAUGGCCAGUCACCACCUGUCCUUCAGUCCGCAGCAAGGGCCUAGUCCGGGCCAGGGGGAGGCGGGCCUGGCAGCCAGUCCUGCUGUUGGGGCCACAGCCAUGGCCCAGGCUGGCUCGACCACCUGCCCUGAGUGCUGGGUCACAACCUUGACACCUGCUCCAGGACCUGUGUCGCAGGGCUCUGGUUUCUGUCUCCACACUGGCUAGUGCUGGGACACAGCAUGUGUCUUCCCCAGGGGCAGUGGCUAAACUCUCCAGGGGCAGCCUGGGUGUUUAGAAUCUCAUCAGGCAUUAACAGCAGUGCUGAGAUGUUUGAUGCAGAGCUCAGCAGGGGCCAUGUUAUGCCUUGUUUGAAGUUGGUGAGCCUUUUGGAGUUUCCAGUUAAGCUAAUGGGAGGCAUUGCUGUCCUAAGCCAGAGAGGUGCCUGUAGGUGCUGUGACCACCUGGAGCCGCUGUCUCUGUAAUGGCUUCCUUACCGCUGGCCAGGGAGGCGGCAGACGGAUGGGGAAGCCAGGCUCUCCCCAGCCCUGCUCACAGGCUCGCAUCCUGCUAGUGUGUGGUUUGUGCGACCCCCUCCGACACACUGGACCCGCCCCAUUUCCCAGGUACUUCGUGUCCCCAAACCUGAGGGUGCACAGUCAGCCUCACACCUUCAAAUUCUGGACCCUCAGAUCCAGGAUGAAAAUUCUGCAGAGCCAAAGCCAGCUGUCACCGGCAGUGUGGCUCUGGCUUCCCCAGUCACAGGAAGCUGGAGAAGGCGCCUUUUGCCACUGUGGGCCCUGGGGCCCUGAAGGAAGAGGCCUUCUGUGGAGCCCCAUCCAGUCCCCAGGAGUCUUGUCCUCCUAACAGCACCCGUCAAAGAGCAGGCAGUAAGCGCUAUGUCCUUCACUUCCCUGUGCUGUGUCCCAAGUUCAAAGCCCAAGGUGACCUAUCCCAGGCUGCCGGUGAGCCCUUCUGCCAUCUAGUGGUGGAAGGAAGAACUCCCUUUUCGCUGGCCCGGCGGGGCCUCUGGGGUUGGUUACCUCAGCCAUCUCUGUCCUCAGGGUCUUGGAAGGUGGUGACCCUGGUCCUCACUCUCGGGCCUUGAGGAACAGUGCCGGGUAAGCCCUGUGCCUGAGGCUGGGGAGCCUCUGGUCAGUGGUGCCUGUCGCACUGGUGCUGGGCUUCCUGGGCCCUGGGAAGGAUGCGGCUUUGUGGGGACCCUGGAAGUGGUGCCUGACUCUGCCAGACUCUCUGUCUGUGCCCCAGGGAAGCGACAUGCAGCUCCCAGGACUUUGUUUCCUUCAUCGGUAAAAUAGGAAUUUAAAAACCGGCACUAAACGUCUGCUCUCAAGGAUCACUGUGAGGAUGAAACGGCAGCUCCAGUAUGGCCCAGCCAGGUGUGGACAGGAGGCUUCUGGACAUGAAGAUGUGAACACACUGUGUGGUCUGCAAGCCUGGUGUGCACACGGCUGCUGGCUGACACGCCUGUCCCAGCCACAGCCCCAUGGCAUGCUUGUCUCCAGGCAUGAGUCCAAGCUGGCUCCAUCUUUCAGCACUGGACCCUAGAGAGCAUCCAGUCUUCUUCAAACCUCUGUUUCCCCAUCUGCAAAAUGGCAGUCUCAGGGCCUCCACCCUGCACCUCAAAUUCUGAGGGCCUGAUGCAUUUCUGAGUUCCCAACUUUUGGAUUUUUAGAAAAGUAAUAGAGUGUGGGUGUUACUUCAUAUGUAACACUAUGUUAUGGAUUAGCUCCAAAAUGUACCCCAAAAGUCAUAUGGGUGGAAGGUGACUGCAUCAUGGAUUCACUCACUGGUGACCUCAGGGCUGAGUGUGCUGUUAGGCGUGGGCCUGGCUGACGCUGGUCCCUGGGGUCUCUCUGCUUCCUGGGUGCAGCUGUCCUCUGCUGGGCCUUCCACCAAACCUUUCUGCUGUGGAGCUGGUAGACCAUGGACAGAACCCACUGAGACUGUGAGCUAAGUAAACCUGUCCUCCCCUAGGCUGUGGGUGCUGGUAUUGUAUUCCAGCAAUGGAACGUGACCGAGACACACCACUAGUCCUGCGUCAAACUUACCAACAUUUCUCCAGCAAAUCUAUGAAUGUCCAAAUUAAGCAGAUUACGUAAAACCACGAGUAAAUUCAUGCUAGCUGAGGUCAGGUUUUGCCACCAAAUGAAGUAAUUGUUUUAAGUUGCUGUGUUCAGAACAUUGUGCGUGAAGAACUAGAGAUGUGAGUAGCCGUCCAGUGCCACCUCCCUCAUGGGAAGACAGGAGUCCUGUGCCUGUGGAGGGUGCUGCAGGGACAUGGCUUUACAACACUGGCUGCCAUGCACAGCUUUUCAUGGUGGCUCUGAGCCAGGAGCCAUUUUCCUUAUGAUUGGUGUAUGUUUGUGGUACAUAAAAGUUCCGUAUAUGUGCCCCUCUCUCUUCCCUGGGUCCCUGUCCCCUUCUCCACAAAGUCUGCCUCCCCGUUUCCUACCAUCUCUUUUAUUUUGCUCUUUAGAUUAUUUAUAUUUUGGGUUUCUCAGAGAUGAGAAACUGAUAUUUAACCCCUGUCUGAUUUCUUUCACUUAGCAUGAUGGUCUCAAGAUGCACCCAUUCUGUUAAUGACUCACAUCUGUCCUGCUUCUCAGCUGAGUUGUACUCCAUCGUGUGUGCAGCAUACACCACUUUUUUUUGGUACUGGGAAUUGAACUCAGUUCCUUGCACUUGCACAGCAGGCAGCAGAACCACUGAGCUAAAUCCCCGGCCCUACGCCACAUUUUAAUGCCCAUAGUGAAGAGGGGAACAGAGGCCCAGGGCAGUUGAGUAGCUGCUCAUUGUACAUAGCUCUAAAUGACCAGCUGGCCCUCAAUGUCCUAGCCUGGCAGCAUCCACCCAUUAUGUGCUUGUCACUAAGCUGGGAAGGAGAAGUGGCAACUCAGGCCUCUGACUCCUUUCUUUGUUUGCUUGCGGUCACACUCUGGGCAGGUGCUCACCACUGAAAUGGACUCCAGCCAGGCCUGGACUUUGACUCUGCCCUCUCAGCUCACCAGGCCUCUACUGGAGGGAGAUGUGAAAGAGAAAGUUAAAAGCGAGCACGUCUUUCUGGAAGUCUGGCUGGGCCUGCACUCAAUCUCCCAGCCCCGCUGUCCGCACUGCAGUGCUUGCUCUCCUCGGGCAGCGGCCUGACUGCCUGGCUGCUCCUGCUCUGUCCAGGCAGCCCAGCUGGUCAGAGAUCCCUGCAGGGCCCCGGCCCUCAGAGAGGUCACCCAGUCCCCCUUCCCAGCGGCCAGGUUGCCUGGCCAGUGUGGAUGUGGGGAGGAGCAGAGGUCUCCUGGAUGCUGUGGCUGCACAGACAUCUCCAGACUGCCAAGUUCUGCCUGCCUCCCGUGCAGCCAGCACCCGGCCAGCUGGAACUUUGUCAAGCAGCAAUGGAGGUCCGUUGGGCUUCGCCACAGUUCUGCAUGACCUAAAAUCCCUCCACACUUGGAUUUCAUGAUGUUUUAUGGAAUGUGCAGUGACCUUGUUUUCCACGUUUCGAACCAGAAAAUCUUUGGACUCAUGGGAACAUGGGUUUGGAGCCAGACAGACAGCCUGACAACAGGGCUGUGGAAGAACUCAAGGCCGGUGCUGGUCCAGGGAGGUAACCCCACUGCUUGGUCCUUGGCAGAAGGGCUGCAGGCAUCCCUAGGGUUAGGAAGAGCCAUGCUCCAGUCCCCAUCUGCCCAGUAUACGAUGCAGGCCUGAGAAAAAAGACGCUAAGAGACAGAACUAGAAGGGAAAGUGGGGGCCAGGAUGGCCAAUGCCGGUACAGCUGACAAAGAUGCUGGCCAGUCCCAGGCACUGAGUUUUACUGGCAAUCAGUUGAGUUAAAGGCGAGCUACAAAUAGUCUCUAUGGAAAUUAAUGUAAAAAAGGCUCAUAAAGGACAAGACAAACCAUUCUCGAAUUUAGGAACAUAAUAGACAAAAUAUAUGGUUGCAAUUAGAACAUUGUCCUUCUAGUCAGAAGGGUUUAGUUGUGGGAACGGAAUUUGGGUGUGAGUUACUCUGACCUCAGCACGUAGGCUUCAGCCAGACUCACUUCUAUAAACAAGCCAGCUGUGGGGUUAACUCUUCACAGCCUGCUUUGGGAAUAAUCAAUUUUAUGGUCCUCUGCACUCCAGGAGUGUUAGUUGUGCACAGGCUUAUCUUCUCACUGCUCUGAUAUGCACAUGAAGAUAGGUUUCAAGGCAAAAAGCUUUCCAUGAGGCUUAGCUGAAUAUUUUGAAGAGCAAAUCAAGACUCAGUCAGGUGUGUGAUGAUACAUGGAUAGGGCUACCAGCAGGGAAACUGACAGCCAGGAAGGCAGGAGCUCCCAUCAACGAAGCUCUCUAGAAUCCACAAGCUAAUGAAGUCAAGGCCAAUUGUCAGUUAGUCAGCAGGCAUAUCACCGCCAGCAUCCAGGGCAGUGGGUGCAACCACAGGUGACUGCUAAUGGGCAAAUUAGGGAACUUCACGGGCAGCAGUUCACAGAACUAGAUGGCAGGGAGACAGGGCUGCUGGAUCAAGGAGGUCCUGGGCACAGGGGUCCACAUGUGGGAUUUCUGGUGCAACUGAGAAACCCAAGGAGCCGGCUUCCUCUAGCUGCCAACUGCAGCAGCACGGUGCGUUCAUGAGCACACGGGCAUUCUUGUUUGCAGUGGCAUCACUGGUUGCUCUUGCCCUGUUUUCCUCACGCACCAGAGGAAGCACAGGGCCGAGGCUGGGCCAGAUGGUGCCACUUGUACAGGCUGGAGUUCCUCGUAGGACCACCUGCUUACCUUCAUGCUGCCCGACCCCACUGCAGCCCUGGGAACCCUCUGCUCCAUGAACUGACUUGACUCCACUCGGUAACUGAUCACUGGGCCCAAGUUCAUUGAUUUGUUAAACUAAAGGGUUUUUGUGGUGGUAUAUUUGAUUUCUAACCUUUUCCUUUGAAGAUUAGUGUGUAUAUGUGCAGGGGGAGAUUAAGAGACAAGUGCAUUUGCAUAUCUACACAUACAGCCAGUGUUCUGUGUCCCAGAUCCACAUCUGUGACUGAACCUGCUGUCUCCCUGCACUGUGCAGUUAGGGCCAUGAUGGCUGCACCUGUACAGGACAUGUCCAUACUUUCCUUCCUGCCAUUCCCCAAACAAUGCAGCAUAUCAGCUAUUUAGGUGGCGCUUACACUGCUGUAGGCAUCACAAGUCAUCUAGGGAUGAUUUAUACUGGGGUUGUACAAUAUUUUAUGGAAGGUACUAGAGCAUCCUCAGAUUUGGGCACCCAUAGGGGGCCCAGGGGCCCAUAUCUGUGGAUACUGAGGCAGGACCAUGCUUCAGUGAGGAGCCCAUGUUAGUGCACAGAGGAGAGGAGCAGCAGAAAGCACCGGGCAUCGAGGGGCCCUGCACCCACAGUGACUUUCUGUGUCCCUUCACCAGGGUCCCCUUUCCUCUUUGAGUUUUGAAUCCCUCCACUGGAGGGUAGAGAAGAUGAUUUCACCCUGCUCUGGGCUCCGCUCAGCUCUGAUCUCCUGCUCUGGGCUGGGACACCUGUGUUGUCACCUGCCUCCUCUGCUCACCCUGCAGGAAAUACACUCGAGAAGGACACUUGGCAUGAGAAUGUGCCUGAGGGAGGCAGUCUUGCUCUUCCUGACACUGCUUUCCUGGGAGGCCAAAGUCCACUGGAUUGGCAAAGACCCCUAAACACUGUCCUGAGAAAUGCCAGGGCAACCCUGUGCCCUACACUUCUUCCAUGAAGGACCAGUCCCAGCUGCAGAAGGGCCAGGGCAAGGUGGUCAAGAAGACUGUCCAGGGCAUUCAUCAGAGGUCACCUUGACCACUCAAUGUGCAGCUCCUCAGGGCAGAGAGGGCACAGCUGUGGCAGCUAAAGCAGAGGGCACAUUAUACUCGGGCCCCUUCCGCCUCUGCUUCCCAUACCCUGCCCAUACCUGGCUUUGUUUCCUAGUCUCCCUCCAUGCGCCCACCCUCCUCUUGAGCAGAAUUCCAGCAUUUUCCAGUGCUCUUGUUCCUUCAGUGAGACUGGCAGCAUCACUCAGACAAAUCUGCCUGCUCAGUCUCUUUGGCCAGGGUUGAGUUGCUCCCGCUGGCCACUCCAUGUGCCUUAUACAUUUCCUCUCUUCACAGAACCAGGAGCUUCUGGAAAGCCUGAACUCAGGGAUGCUGUGAGACUUCUCAGGGCACAUUCUUUUCCUUAAAUUCCUUUAUUGGUACAUUUUAGGUAAACAAUACAGUUACAUUCAUCAUUGGGAUCUUGCACCUAUACAUGAUGCAUCUCGGUUCUUAUUUUUCCCCUCUCCCCUGCCCUCCCUUCACCCCCUCCACCCUUCUCUAUUUACAGAGACUUUGUUUCCAUUUUUUCCUUUUCUCAUAUUUUUUCCUUUCCCUUUUUUCCUUUCCCCUACCCCUCCCACUUCCCCUACUCCUUUAGACCUUUUCUUCCUAUUGCACAUUAUCAAUUAUUCAUUUUAAUCCUUAUUUACACUUUCAGUUUCUCACACCAGAGAAACUAUUUGGUAUUUACACAUGUGUGUCCUAUUUAUUUCACUUAAUAGUAUCACCUCAAUGUGGAUCCAUUUAGCUAUAAAUGUCUCUAGUUUGUCAUUCUUUAUGGCUGAGUAGUACUCCAUUUUAUUUUUUAAAAACCCCACAUCUUCUUUAUCCAGUCUCUAGUUGAUGGGCACAUGGGCUAUUUCGAAGCUUUAGCUAUUACAAACUGCUGCUAUAAACAUGGGUAUGCAUAUAUUGCUGUGGUAUGAUUCUUUUAAUUCUUUUGGGAAAAUACCCAGCAGAGGAAUAGCUGGGUCAAAUGGGACCUCUAGCCCUAGUUCUUUGAGGUAUCUCCAUACUGAUUUCCAUAGUGGCUGCACCAGUCUGCACUCCCACCAGCAAUGGAGAAGGGUUCCUUUCUCUCCACACCCCGCCAGCAUUUGUUAUUGGUUGAUUUCUUGAUAGCAGCCAUUCUUUGUGGGGUGAGGUGGAAUCUCAGCAUUGUUUUCAUCUGCAUCUCUCGAAUGACCAGUGAUGUUGAACAUUUUUUCAUAUGUUUCUUUGCUGCUUUUACUUCUUUGAGAAAUGUCUGUUUAUUUCAGACAUUAUUUCUGUUUUAUUUCAUUUUUUGGAUUGGGUCUUUAUAUCUGGGGGGUCUGAUUUUUUUUUAGUUCUUUAUGUAUUCUAGAUAGUAGUCCUUUGUUUGAGGUACAGCUGCUAAAAUUUUUUCCCCACAUUGUAGGUUGUCUCUUAGCUCUGUUGGUGGUUUCUUUUGCAGUGCAGAAGAUUUUAAUAAGAUGAGAUCCCAGUUGUCGAUUCUUUGUGCUAGCUCCCAUGCUACUGAGGUUUUGUUCAUAAAGUCUUUUCCUAUGCCAAUGUCUUUGAGAGUUCUACCUAACUUAUCUUCCAGCAAGUUUAGUGUUUCUGUUUUAAUAUUUAGAUCUUUAAUCCACUUCGAUCUUAGUUUAGUGCAUGGUGAUAGGUAUGGGUCUAGUAUGUAUGAUAGGUAUGUCACUCUUUUUGUUUUAUAUAAUAGAAAAUGAAUGUCUAUUUGGCAAAAAAUUUUCCCAAUGAUUAUUAAGCUUUUUUGUUCUUUUUUGUUGUUGUUGCUUUUUAGGCAGGGUCUCUCUUUGUAGUUCAGGCUGGCCUUGAACUCACUGUGCAGCCCAGGCUGUCUCAAACUUGUGGCAAUCCUCCUGCCUCAGCCUCCCGAGUGCUGGGACUACAGGAGUGCACCACCACACCCAGCUUUAAGCUUUUUUUUAUUCUUAAAAUCAGCCUGGGGCCAGGGAUUUAGCUCAGUGGUUCCCUGCCUGCCUUGCAAGCGGAAGGACCCGAGUUCGAUUCCCGGCACCAAAAAAAAAAAAAAAAAAAAAAAAGCAGCCUGAACCUGUGUUACCUAAGAUAAAGAACAACUUUCUACCUCCAUGUGAUGAGAUCAGGGAUGAGGUUAAAGGUGCAGAUGGCCUGGUGUCUCUGUAACUCAUGUGACCCUGUGAAGGGGGUGGGAGGCUGUGUCUUGCACCAAGCAGUUCCCUUCCUGGAUUUGUCGUUUGCUUCCUUGUUAAAUUCUGCACAGUGUGAACGUGUUGCUUUCUCUAUUUGACCCUUUAGCCUGGGAGGGUCCCAGCCUGUGGGUAACAGUGCUGAGGUGGGAUGGGAGAAACGAAGACAGGUGGAGAACGGGCAAAGAGAGGUGAAACUUUAAAAUUGUGUUGCUAGAAAAACUCAGCUUCAGGACACAAGUCACUCGGCACACUCAAAAAUACUUCUUCUUUCCCCUAAGGGUUGUAGGGAAGGUUGAGGGACAGGCAGGGAAAGUUAAAGGGCUUCAGCGAGGUUUCUGGCAAAUAAAGAGUUAAAGCCCUGCUAGAGACAGUAGCUAAGAAAAACAAACAGAGCUGAUGAGGCUCCUGGCUCACUUAAGGGCAAGGCUCAAUUCCUGCACCUCUGUAUAAGUACAUACAUAUUUUGUUAUUUUCUCACCAUAUUAAUACACUAAAAUGCACAGGUAUCCUUUUUACUAACUCAGCCUUAAAUGUAAUUGUGCUGCAAGUCUCACAAGAUAAACACCCGGACAACACAAAGGGACCGCAGAAGUGCUUGUUCCAGAAUGUAUACAUGGGCAACAGCGAGGGCCAUGGCCGAGUCAGAGGUCUCAGAGCCCAGAACAGCCAGUGAAGUUACGACAGCUCUCAAGGGACACGGUCCGUUUCUUGCCAUGUAAUCAGAGGCUACGAACAAAGACCCCUUGAGUUCUGGCUCUGGGCUCCCUAACUUACUCCAACAAAGUAGCUAUCUAUCGCUUUAUUUCUCUCCCUCUCUCCAAUCAAGUAAUUUUGUUUCCCCUUUUCCCUUCCUUUCCUAAUAAAGUGAUUUUGUCUCUCCUUCAGAACAUAUAUCUCUAAUUCUUUUUUUGUGUGUAUGUUGUUUUACAAACCCUAGGUAAAAAUCUACCCUCAGGAGCUGUAACAGGGUGAGGGCCUAAGGCACCUGGGCUCAACUUUUCUCCCAUGAAUUAUACUUCCUGCCACAGAAAUCUGGAAGCUGCGAUACACACAGACGUCAGCCUUCUAACUUAGCCUGGCCGGCACGGAAAUGAAGUCCUAGGUCCCCCACCUUGAGGACACCCGACUCCAUGGGAACUCCACCCCAGACCAAGAUGCAUCUCUGUCCCAAGGCUUGUCCUCCAUUCUCUGAGAGGGGACUGUUUUAAUUUUGCCUAAUAAACCUCUUCACUCCUCUUGCUGAUGAAUCUUGAAAAUACUUUUUCUGCGAUGGAAGUCAGCGAACUUUCAACCUGUUGCAUGGGUGUGGUGAGUCCCAAUUCCCAUCUUCAGUUUGGGGACUUGGACCCUGUCCAGUGACACCUGGUGCUAGCUGUUUACUGAGCUUGGGUUUUAUUUUGUGGAAUGGCUGGAGGAUGCAGGCAUGUGUCCCCUCCAAUACUUACUGGCUGUCUUCCUAGUGGGUUUUGGUUCCUCAGCCAUGAAAAAGUGUAGCCUGAAUAAAAUCCAGCACUGCUGUGGUCCAGGACCACAGGGCCAUGCACAAGGACAGCAGCCUGGGGGAAAUUCCAUGCAUCAGCCUGUAGCCUGUUGGUUGGACACACCUGUGUCAAAGUAAAAAUGCCUUAAAAAAGGAAGCUUGUUGCUUAUACACAUUAACUAUAUUAUGUAUUUUAUACGAAGCACAAGGCAAUUCCUUGUCCCCUCCUGUGGCCCAGGCAGGCCAGGCCUAUCCCACCACAAGCUGCUCCAUUCUGACAAGACUGGACGACAGUUGCAUGUAGAUACCUGAGGUUCCCGACUGAAAAUCCACUGAUUCGUACAGGGAACACUCUUAAGUUAUCUUGUUACUGAAAAAUAUCACAAUAGUUGCAGCAUCAUCCAGAUUGAAAGAGAAAUACCUCUUGCACAGUUUCUCUCCUUCUCAACCCUAAAGAUUCUGAGAUUUGAGUCUUAUAAAGGCUGCUAAUUCAUAUAAGCGAGAAGAAAAGCACAAAGCUGCUUCUUGCUUGCAGAAUGCUGCUGAUCGAGGGGACCUGUCUCUGGGCCGACGAACCUGCCCUCACCAGCAUGGCGCAGUCGCAGCUGAAGAGAAGAAGUGGCGCCACGGGCAUCCACACACUCGCAGAGUGCACACCGUGGGCCAAGCCGAGAGGUGCCUCAGUGCUAACAGAAUUCUGCACAGGGUUAGAUGCGAGCCUUACCAACAGCUAGAAACCAUACACUAUGACACGGAUUACCUUUUUAGCUAUUUUAUUUUAUUAUUAUUAUUUUUUUGAGAUGGGGUCUUGCUACAUAGCCCAGGCUGGCUUUGAACUCACGGAGAUCCUCCUACCUCCCUAGUCUUGGGAUUCUAAGUGUGCAUUACACACCUGGCUCUUUUUAGUCUAUUUUAACUCUUGAUCAGUAAGCUUAUAAAACUGUGUUUCAACCAGCUUUGAACCAUCAUAUACCAUAAUUUUUUAUCUGAAUGAAAUUAUUAAGGCAGAUAUUCAUAAUAUAAUUAAACAGAAACACUAUGAAGUUCUGGUUUUUUUUGGUUUUUUUCAGUACUGAGAAUUGAACCCAGGGCCUUCACACUGAGCUACAUCCCAGCCCCUUUUACUUUUUUUUUUUUUUGGUACUGGGAGUCUAACUCGGGACCUUGUGCUUGUGGGGCAGGCCGCAGAACCACUGAGCUAAAUCCGGCCCCUUUUUUAAUUUUUAUUUUGAGACAGGCUCUUGCUAAGUCACCAAGUCGCCCAGGUUGGGUUCAAAUUUGUGGUCCUUCUGCCUCAGCCUCCCAGAGUGCUGGGAUCACACGUGUGCCCCACCCCACCCAGCUUAGUGUUCUUCUAGCCUUAAUAUUCUUUCCCCUCAUCCUUCUCCUUAAUUUGCUUGUCAUCACAAUGAAAUGUGUUUG